This 74-nucleotide transfer RNA is filed under the name Canis lupus familiaris (dog). It matches the Rfam family "tRNA". From Rfam's summary of the family: Transfer RNA (tRNA) molecules are approximately 80 nucleotides in length. Their secondary structure includes four short double-helical elements and three loops (D, anti-codon, and T loops). Further hydrogen bonds mediate the characteristic L-shaped molecular structure. tRNAs have two regions of fundamental functional importance: the anti-codon, which is responsible for specific mRNA codon recognition, and the 3' end, to which the tRNAs corresponding amino acid is attached (by aminoacyl-tRNA synthetases). tRNAs cope with the degeneracy of the genetic code in two manners: having more than one tRNA (with a specific anti-codon) for a particular amino acid; and 'wobble' base-pairing, i.e. permitting non-standard base-pairing at the 3rd anti-codon position. RNAcentral also lists the same sequence under 1 other name. Lineage: Eukaryota; Metazoa; Chordata; Mammalia; Carnivora; Canidae. The record is from Rfam by way of RNAcentral.
GGCUCUGUGGCUUAGUUGGUUAAAGCACCUGCCUAAUAAAUAGGAGAUUCUGGGUUCAAACCCCAGUGGGGCUU